This 301-nucleotide ribosomal RNA is filed under the name uncultured bacterium. RNAcentral's name for it is "partial 16S ribosomal RNA". It matches the Rfam family "Bacterial small subunit ribosomal RNA", at positions 509 to 809 of the family's 1533-position model. The record is from RNAcentral.
CAGUCGCCGCGGUAAUACGUAGGUGGCGAGCGUUGUCCGGAAUUAUUGGGCGUAAAGGGAGCGCAGGCGGACAUAUAAGUCCAUCUUAAAAGUGCGGGGCACAACCCCGUGAGGGGAUGGAAACUGUAUGCCUUGAGUGCAGGAGAGGAAAGCGGAAUUCCCAGUGUAGCGGUGAAAUGCGUAGAUAUUAGGAAGAACACCAGUGGCGAAGGCGACUUUCUGGACGAAAACUGACGCUGAGGCGCGAAAGCCAGGGGAGCGAACGGGAUUAGAUACCCCAGUAGUCCCUGUCUCUUAUACA